GACGUGCUGAGAAAUUCACUGUUAUGUUCUCUGUCCUUGAGCUGUCCGCCCUCACACACGUGGUCACUUUCCCCUAAAAAUUGUUUAAUCUGGUUCUCUUUAUCUACUUGUAGGAUCUGUGCAGGAUCCACUGAUGUGUAAGUUUCCAACUUUUCCUUCGGUGUUAAGCUUUGUCUGGUUUGUGUGUCCAUUUAUUUUUGUGUCCUCGCUGCAGCUCUGUCCGACUGCAUCGUAUAAGAAAAGCAGCAGACGUGGACGCUUCAGGUCAGUACAGGCUUCACUUUGUAAUGUCAGGGUGAGAAUAGAAGAGCUGGAUCACCUCUGACAGGAUUCUCUGUAAAGAAGUGCAGAGACUUUGAGUACAGCCAGUGAGCAAAGCCAGAGAAGUCAGUGUAUCUGAACCAGAAAUCAAAGAGAAAUCAAGAACAGGGAGUACGCUCCCAAGGACAGUGUCAGAAAAACGCCUAACGCAUCCUUUUUCUGCCCACGUCUCUUCUCAUCUGUGUUGCAGUUUCCAGGCUUUUAUUUCUCCAUUUCCCUACUUUAAAUGUCUGCUUGUUUAUUGCUGAUAUUGUAAUAACACAUGCUUUUGUUCAUAGACAUAAGAGCAGCUUCCUGUCUGCAGUGUCUGUGCUCCAUCUGUCUGGAUGUGUUCACCGUUCACCAGACGCAGCUUCUGAACAACUACGGCACACUGCACGGCGACGCUCGUGUCCCUGUUUUUCACAUUAAACUGCACUUUUAUUUCUGCUGCUGACGUUAUGCAAACCGCUGCAGGAGGAAUAGACUGACAGCUUCAUCUAAGAUCUGGAAAAACUCCAGUUCCUCCAAAGUUUCCCGUUCCCGAAGUCUGUUCCAUCCACCGAACACUGGACCGAGGGCAAAGUUGAGCCGUUAUGUGGCGGCAGAAAGAGAACUGUUGAUGAGCUGCAGGAGACGCACGAGCUGUGCAGUAACUGUGAAGUGAAGAGGGCCUAGAAGUACGCAGUGGAUGUGACUCUUGGUCCUGACACAGCAAAUAUCUAUCUCAUCCUUUCUGAUAAUGGGAUGCAAGUCAGCCCUGGAACAGUCAAACAGAACCUUCCAGACACCCAAAGAGAUUUUCUGUUGUUGAGUUUGAGGAAAGCAGCCAGAUUUAGUUUGAGGUUCAGGGCAGGAAGACUGGAUCUUAGCCCAAAGACCGUGAACAGGAAGCAGGCAGUGAAUAGCUGUACGUUUGGCCUCACGCGGUGGCUGUUUGUGGACCCUGAAUCGGAGCUGGUCACUUUUAUAAUAUAGAUGGGCCGUAUGAUAAAGUGUUACGCAGAACGAAUAAAGUAUGAACUGAAUCUCCUUCCUGUUUUCCUUUGGAAAUAAGUCUGUGAAACUCUUUUAGUAGUGAACUAAACCACAGAGUAACAUCCCCAAACUGCCAAUACUCAGUGUAGAUGACCUCACCGAUGUCAUGCAAUACAAGUCAUAAAAUAGGAUCAGACGUACAGUCACAUCGAUCCUUUUAUUUUCGACUGUGGAGCUACGUAUUCCUUUCUUCAGCAUGUCUUUAUCCUGUCUUCCUUCUCUC
Molecule: long non-coding RNA, 1561 nt
Organism: Astatotilapia calliptera (eastern happy)
Lineage: Eukaryota; Metazoa; Chordata; Actinopteri; Cichliformes; Cichlidae
Source: Ensembl